This is a long non-coding RNA of Magnolia sinica, 1312 nucleotides long. RefSeq lists it as uncharacterized. The transcript has 2 exons. The record is from RefSeq and is a predicted model, not a curated record. NCBI's taxonomy places the organism in Eukaryota, Viridiplantae, Streptophyta, Magnoliopsida, Magnoliales, Magnoliaceae.
UAGAAACCUAAUGUGUGCUUGGAUUUUAGGUUGGUGAUGGAUCCAUCAAUCAUGUGGUAAGUUCAUUGUACAUACAAAAGAUCACUAAAAAUCCACUGAGAUGGGCCACCCCACUAGGAACAAUCUAGAAUUGCACCGAAUCCAACACAUGAAGGUGAUAUUGAGGUUCCAUUUUGUAGAGAGGGUUGAGAUGAGGUGUGUGCCUGAUCAACGAUCACAAUUGCCUAUUUUUUAAAUGUGUUUGAGAGAAUUUAGGCUUUGAAUUUGGGUUGUCUUCGAAUAAUUCAAACUAUUUAUACGAUGUUUCUUAUAUGGUAGAUAGAUAACCAAUAAAAUCUUUACAUAUGAUUGAUACAUUCAAUCGAAGAGAUUUUUGGGUCAUCCCGCAUUCGGGAUGUCAAUGGGUUCUGGACCCAUGGGUCCGGGUACUUGAUGGACCUGGCAUAACUUUAAGGGGUCCAGGUCCCAUAGAUAAAUUUGAACAGGCCAUAUAUUUCCUUUCCUUUUCUUUGAAAAUUUUAGGUACUAUCAUUAACAAUAAGAGUUGGGCUUUUGGCGUGGCUUUAUCCUUGGGCAGGUAUUCUAAGCUCGAUUGGAUGGAUAUAUUAGCAAACUGAAGAAUAUAUCAAUGGUCAACUGAAAAAUAAACAUGGUGGUACUUUCAUCCGAGUAAAUAAUGGUAUUCUAAGCUCGAUUGGAUGGAUAUAUUAGCAAACUGAAGAAUAAAUCAAUGGUCAACUGAAAAAUAAACAUGGUGGUACUUUCAUCCGAGGAAAUAAUGGUAACAUAGGUCCAUUUUUACUAAUAAAUGUGAUUGUGUUUUUUUACUUUUGAUUGAUGAGGGAUGGGGACCAAGGACUGAUGAUGACUUGCCCAAGCUGCCUGUGACUCAUCCAAGUCUCAAUUGGAAUCAUGACUAAAUGAUUCAGCUGGAAUUGUUGAGUCAAAACACAAUGAUGAGGGCAUCUACUUUCUUUAUUGAUGCAGUUCUCUAUUUAUCAGUACAUGCCAAGUAACCAAACGUAUGUUAUCAGUAUUAUGUGCUUAACUCUUUUUUUUUUUUUUCCAGUGUGGCACUACCGAAGAACAUAAAGAGGCGAGGUAUGGAAUAAUCCAUGAAGAUAAGGAAACCAUUUCCUUUGAACUUUGCUUACUAGUUAUCUUGUAUUAUGCAAUGAAAAGGCCAAAUUGACAUGUGGGUUUUGAGUUCCGACUUGAAUAGGCUUGGGUCUGUAAGGACUCACUGACGAGCUUAGGCUAGAUUUAGCCUAGGUCGGCCUGGCCUAUGGGUCAACUGACUCAAACCGCUUUU